CCGGGUCACCCAUGCCCUAAACCCAGCGACUCUUUCUCCCGAGCGACAACUGCGGCGUUUCCUCGGCGAGCUGCUGUCUUCCUCUCCAUCGGCGAACAGCAGAAGCAACGGCGGUGUCUUCCUCCGGGGUGUUCUUGUUGCUGCUGCGUUUUCCUCUGUGAACGGCGGCUGCAGCUUCUUCCUCUCCAUAGGCGAAACGGCGUCUCCGCCCCCCGAGUGGGAUUACCAAGCAGUAGGGAGUUAUUUGAUGCUAAAUUGGAGAAUAAAACUUACAGGAUUAUUACUCGAGUUUAGGAAAGAUUCCCAAAAAACAUUGCUACCAGUUGUCCAAAAGCCUGAUGGGAAGAAAAAUUUGAUGGUUUGUGAUCAGAUUUCUGUAAGCAAUUUCUGCUGCUAAAUAGAUCUCUAGGCCUUUGUUUAUCUGUUAUAUCUCCUCUGACUACUCUAUGUUAUAUUUGAUAUUACUGAUUCUGAGGUAUCAAAUUUAGUUUAAUAUUUAAAUUUUAAAGAGAAUGGAGUGAUUUGCUUAAUAAAGCUCCAAUAAGUCACAUAUGUAGUACCUGGUACUGAAGACUUUGACCACACUGAUAUCUCUGAAUUUGUUCAGAAAGCUCCGGGUCUCUUAGUAAGUUUCAGAAAAUUAGAACUUGGAGACAGUGACAGUGACAGCUGAUGAAUUAGCUGUGGUACCUAUUUUGCAGAAUCAACUUUCCUUGCUUGAACACUGCUAAUCCUUCAUUUUCUUCAGAUUAUAUAUGACAGCAAGGAAUCUCUUGAAAGCUACUGUUCCCAUCUCUUGUUGUCUAGACAUGACAUAUAUUUUAAUGUGGUUGAUGGCAAGGGAUAUUCUUCUCUAUACGGUCUUCGAUGACGAUGGCUUGAUUUACCUUGCUUCCAUCCUUAUUGUCAUCGUUCCGUCGUAAGUUCUUGAUCCUUGGUCCAAAGAUGGUUUGGUACAGGGAUUCUUUGGGAAAGAUUCUUUUGGUCUAUUUCGUGAUCGCCCCUUCCUCGACGAUGGUGGAAAACUUGCCGUAGAGACCAUCAUCAGCAUAGAUUCCUUGGUAGAGGCUAAAAAUGAAGGUGCUGAUUGACAAGGAGGGUUUUCUAUAGUUGCAUCGAUGGUGAUCUCAUGUUUUUGCUUGUUUCCUAUCCUAUGGUGGCCAUUCUAUUGCAAAUUCUUGAUCCUUGGUGCAGAGAAGUGUCAGUUCAAGGAUUCUUUUGAAUAGAUUCUUUUGGUCACAGAUUUUCAUAUCUAGCUCUGCUGCUGCCUAGCUUGCAAUGAAGAUGGCAAUUGACAAGGAGGUUUUUUUUCUCUCAUUAGGCCGGUGAUGCUUUGUCUUUCUUCCAGCCCUUUCAUUGUUGUUUGAUCACAGAUUCUUGAUCUCUUGGUCCAGAGGAGAAGAGUUGGUAGGUUGGUUCUUUGGGACAUGGAGUGUUUCUUUGCCACAUGAUGGAUUUCUGCCCAUUGGCGAGGAAAUCUUCUGUCAAUUGCAUAAUUGCGUUGAUAAAGGAACCUGAGGUGUAGUAGAUUAUUUGGUCAUAGUGUGUUGCUAUGAUCCUGCUGUUUGUGCUUCUUAUGGAAUGAAGAAGAGAUAAUUGGAUUGGUUGCCGAUAAGUGGCUGAGAAAGUUUAUUCAUUAGUGUUUGAUAAAUCCAGCUAAUCUGUUUGUAAUAUUAUGAUCAGCUUAGUGAGUGUGGGAAAUUCUUUAUGGCAAGCCAAGGCAGGCACUGACCCCAGCCAGUAAAUGAAUGUGAUAUUUAUUCAGAGUGGGAUUACCAAGCAGUAGGGAGAUAUUUGAUGCUAAAUUGGAGAAGAAAACUUACAGGAUUAUUACUCGAGUUUAGGAAAGAUUCCCAAAAAACAUUGCUACCAGUUGUCCAAAAGCCUGAUGGGAAGAAAAAUUGGAUGGUUUGUGAUCAGAUUCCUAUAAACAAUUUCAGCUGCUAAAUAGAUCUCUAGGUCUUUGUUUAUCUUUUAUAUCUCCUCUGACUACUCUAUGUUAUAUUUGAUAUUACUGAUUCUGAGGUAUCAAAUUUAGUUUAGUAUUUAAUUUUUAAAGAAGAAUGGAGUGAUUUGCUUAAUAAAGCUCCAACAAGUCACAUAUGUAGUACCUGGUAUUGAAGACUUUGACCACACUGAUAUCUAUGAAUUUGUUCAGAAAGCUCAGGGUCUCUUAGUAAUUUUCAGAAAAUUAGAACUUGGAGACAGUGACAGUGACAGCUGAGGAAUUAGCUGUGGUACCUAUUUUGCAGAAUCAACUUUCCAUGAUUGAACACUGCUCAUCUUUCAUUUUCUUAAGAUUAUAUAUGGCAGCAAGGAAUCUCUUGAAAGCUACUGUUCCCUUCUUUUGUUGUCUAGAGAUGACAUAUUUUAAUAUGAUUGAUGGCAAGGGAUAUUCUUCUCUUUAUGAACCACGACCAAGCAUUAAGGGUCAAUACGAGGAUUCUUUAGGAAAGAUUCUUUUGGUCAAUUUUCGUGGCUGCCCAACCACUUACUCGAUGGUGGUGACAGGCUAUUUUUCAUGGAUGAGGUGGAGGUGGGUUUUCUCUCAUUGCAUCGGUCUUCGAUGACGAUGGCAUGCUUUUGCUUGCUUCCAUCCUUAUUGUCAUCGUUCCGUCGUAAGUUCUUGAUCCUUGGUCCAAAGAUGGUUCGGUACAGGGAUUCUUUGGGAUGGUGAUCUCAUGCUUUUGCUUGUUUCUUAUCCUAUGGUGGCCAUUCUAUCACAAAUUCUUGAUCCUUGGUGCAGAGAAGUGUUGGUUCACAGAUUCUUUUGAAUAGAUUCUUUUGGUCACAGAUUUUCAUAGCAAGCUCUGCUGCUGCCUAGCUUGCAAUGAAGAUGGCAAUUGACGAGGAGGUUUUUUUCUCUCAUUAGGCCGGUGAUGCUUUGUCUUUCUUCCAGCCCUAUCAUUGCUGUUUGAUCACAGAUUCUUGAUCUCUUGGUCCAGAGGAGAAGAGUUGGUAGGUUGGUUCUUGGGGACAUGGAGUGUUCCUUUGCCACUUGAUGGAUUUCUGACCAUUGGCGAGGAAACCUUCUGUCAAUGGCAUAAUUGCGUUGAUAAAGGAACCUGAGGUGUAGUAGAUUAUUUGGUCAUAGUGUGUUGCUAUGAUCGUGCUGUUUGUGCUUCUUAUGGAUGAAGAAGAGAUAAUUGGAUUGGUUGCCGAUAAGUGGCUGAGAAAGUUUAUUCAUUAAUGUUUGAUAAAUCCAGCUAAUCUGUUUGUAAUAUUAUGAUCAGCUUAGUGAGUGUGGGAAGUUCUUUAUGGCAAGCCAAGGCAGACACCGACCACAGCCAGUAAAUGAAUGUGAUAUUUAUUCAGGAUCAAAUGACAAGGAUGGGCUCUGGUAUUUAUUAGCAUCAAUGUCAUCGUAGAAGGAGGUGGCAUCUUUUAUUACAAUAUGCAGUAAGCCAGCUCUGUUAUGAACAAAAGACCUUGUCCUCUCCAAAUUGCAAAAGUGUAUAAUUUGGUCCAUUGACUAGUUAUGAAGAAUGGUAUGGAGGUUGCAAUGAAAGUACAGUACCCCCUGGUGUUGCAGAUAGCAUAGAAAGUGACAUCCAGAAUCAGUUUAAUUUUAGACUACACAAAUCUCAAUCCUAACGGAAUUUUUGUUGAUUACACUAUAAAGGGCUACCGACACAAGGCUGCAUCCUCGGACAAAUCGCUACAGAAGCUGCAUCGUCAAACAUGGCAAAUUUCCUCCUGACUUGAUUGUCACAUGUUCUCUUUGUUGUUGAUAUUGACAUGGUCGUGGUGGUGGUUCCACCUCAUCCUUCUCCCAAUAACAGCAGCAGCGUCCUCGGAAGGCAACACACAUAUAACACAUACAUACAUAACUCAACACAUACAUAUACAUACUACACAUUACACAAAUACAACACGCGUACACAUAAAAUUCACAACGCAUACACAAUAUAACACAUACAUACAUAUAUACAACACACAUACACAACACACACACACAACAUAUGACACUACAUACACAUACACAUAUACACUACACAAUACACACAUAACACAAUACAUAUACACGUAAUACAUACACAACACAUACCAUUCACAACACAACAUAUUAUUAACAACACACAUCACAUUCAUAACACACAUAUGUACACAACACAUCAUAACAUUCUUUACACACAACACACAUAUACACAAUACACAAACACAAAACACACACAACACACAUACAUAUACACAACACACUACACAAUACACAAACACAAAACACACAGCAUUCACAACUCAACACACAUACACAACACACACAAAUACACAACACAUACACGCACAACACACAUACGCACCCAAUACAACAUCACUUUUUUAGAUUAUGUUUACACUUGGGAGUUUAUAUUGUCAUCCACUUCUCAAGAUGUGGUUUCUCCACUUCUUUCAUCAAGCGUCUUGUUGUCCCGAGGAAUUGGAACAUGGAAUACGUCCACUUCACUUAAUCCGAAAAGGAAUUUAGCCUUUUAGAGCAUUGGUAUUUAUUUUUGAGAAGAUAUUUGCAUUGCCCAUAGUUGUAAAAUUCGAGUUAUGUUGUAACUAUUUAGUACCAUGCAGCCGUGUAUUUUUUUUUUUACAAAAAAUUGAAACUAUUCCAUGUGA
Long non-coding RNA from Musa acuminata AAA Group (dessert banana), 4605 nucleotides. RefSeq lists it as uncharacterized. The transcript is spliced from 6 exons. NCBI's taxonomy places the organism in Eukaryota, Viridiplantae, Streptophyta, Magnoliopsida, Zingiberales, Musaceae. The record is from RefSeq and is a predicted model, not a curated record.